CCAGACAGCCAGGAUGUUGGCUUAGAAGCAGCCAUCAUUUAAAGAAAGCGUAAUAGCUCACUGGUCGAGUCGGCCUGCGCGGAAGAUGUAACGGGGCUAAACCAUGCACCGAAGCUGCGGCAGCGACACUUAUGUGUUGUUGGGUAGGGGAGCGUUCUGUAAGCCGUUGAAGGUGGCCUGUGAGGGUUGCUGGAGGUAUCAGAAGUGCGAAUGCUGACAUAAGUAACGAUAAUGCGGGUGAAAAACCCGCACGCCGGAAGACCAAGGGUUCCUGUCCAACGUUAAUCGGGGCAGGGUGAGUCGACCCCUAAGGCGAGGCCGAAAGGCGUAGUCGAUGGGAAACAGGUUAAUAUUCCUGUACUCGGUGUUACUGCGAAGGGGGGACGGAGAAGGCUAUGUUGGCCGGGCGACGGUUGUCCCGGUUUAAGCAUGUAGGCGGAUGUUCCAGGUAAAUCCGGAACGUUACUAACGCUGAGGUGUGAUGACGAGGCACUACGGUGCUGAAGUGACAAAUGCCCUGCUUCCAGGAAAAGCCUCUAAGCAUCAGGUAACAUCAAAUCGUACCCCAAACCGACACAGGUGGUCAGGUAGAG
This 593-nucleotide ribosomal RNA is filed under the name Klebsiella michiganensis. RNAcentral's name for it is "partial 23S ribosomal RNA". It matches the Rfam family "Bacterial large subunit ribosomal RNA", at positions 1085 to 1676 of the family's 2925-position model. Lineage: Bacteria; Pseudomonadati; Pseudomonadota; Gammaproteobacteria; Enterobacterales; Enterobacteriaceae. The record is from RNAcentral.